This 682-nucleotide long non-coding RNA is filed under the name Homo sapiens (human). Its description in RNAcentral is "HSALNT0294447". The record is from RNAcentral. Lineage: Eukaryota; Metazoa; Chordata; Mammalia; Primates; Hominidae.
AAGUGCACAGCUCAGUAGAAUUAAAUACAUUCACACUGCUGCAAAUCACCACUACCAUCUCCAGAACUGAAACUGUGUGUCCAUUAAACAAGAAUUCCUCAACAUGUCUCCACUCAACAGCUGGUACAUACCUCAAACAGGAAUCACUGGACCAUAGAGUAUUUUGAUGUUUAAUUUUUUGAAAAAUCACCAUAUGGUUUCCACAGUAGCUGCACCAUUUUACAUUCCCACCAGCAAUGUGAAAAGAAACAAAAGAAAAUUUGAAAGGGGUGAUGUUCCAACAUAUCAAGUUCAUGAAGGGACAUAAUUAUGCUGUUAUGUGAAAGAAUCAACUCUGUGUGCUCAGCAGACCAUCCAGACACAUCCUAAGCAUUGUGUCUCCGAAGUAGAUCAGUUUAGCUGUGACAUCCUAUAGCAGUAUCUCUAUUAUGUGUCCUGUUCUAUUCAUCAGCAUCUCAACCGAAAAGAAACUCCUGGAGGACAUGCUCCUUGAAAAUAAGAAAGUAAAUGAAAAAAGAAGAUAUUGGGAGAGCAGAAUCAAGAGCUCCAACAAAAGACCUGCCAAAGAACUUCUGGGUUAUAAUAGCAAGUCUUUCCCAUUAAAGCUACUGGCAGAGAUGCCCAAAAUAUUCCUGAUUGAUUGAAGCCUCAUUUGCUAGUUCCUCACUUUCGGGAACACUAA